GUUAAAAAGCUCGUAGUUGGAUUUCUGUUGAGGAUGACCGGUCCGCUCUUUGAGCACGUAUCUGGUUCAGCCUUGGCAUCCUCUUGGGGAACGCUACUGUGCUUGAUUGCAUGGGGCGGUAUUCAAGACUUUUACUCUGAGGAAAUUAGAGUGUUCACUGCAAGCGUUAGCAAUUGAAUACAUUAGCAUGGAAUAAUAAUAUAGGACCUUGGUACUAUUUUGUUGGUUUCUAGAACUAAGGUAAUGAUUAAUAGGGACAAUUGGGGGCAUUCGUAUUAACGCGUCAGAGGUGGAAUUCUUAGAUUGCGUUACGACGAACUACUGCGAAAGCAUUUGCCAAGGAUGUUUUCAUUGAUCAAGAACGAAAGUAUGGGGAUCGAAGACGCUUAGAUACCGUCGUAGUCUAUACCAUAAACUAUGCCAACUAGAGAUUGGAGGUCGUUCUCUUUAUGACUCCUUCAGCACCUUAUGAGAAAUCAAAGUCUUUGGGUUCCGGGGUGAGUAUGGUCGCAAGGCUGAAACUUAAAGGAAUU
This 533-nucleotide ribosomal RNA is filed under the name uncultured marine eukaryote. RNAcentral describes it as "SSU rRNA". It matches the Rfam family "Eukaryotic small subunit ribosomal RNA", at positions 618 to 1154 of the family's 1831-position model. The record is from RNAcentral.